RNA transcript from Glycine soja, 2319 nucleotides. It is a transcript of the gene named ABC transporter A family member 2-like, with no coding region annotated. The transcript is spliced from 4 exons. NCBI's taxonomy places the organism in Eukaryota, Viridiplantae, Streptophyta, Magnoliopsida, Fabales, Fabaceae. The record is from RefSeq and is a predicted model, not a curated record.
GUAGUCUCUCUCGCGCCUGCUUUUAUUCUCACUUCUCGGAUGCCCUAAUUUAUCAUGUCAGCGCUUAACACCUGUGGUUACGUCUCUACCCUUUUUUGGGUUCCUCUCAUUACCGAAACCGAAACAGAAACCAUUUGUGGUGAACCAGUGGAUCUCGAAGGUCAAAGAUGGCCAGCAUCUUCUCGAAGACGAGUUUUAACUUCUCUAGGAAUAUGUACUCUUCUUCGAUUCCUCGCUGUCACUCCAAAACCCUCUCUUGCCCAGUCUUUGCUUUGUUUAUUUUACCCCUUUUUUUGUUAAUUAAAUAGGAAUCUGAUUAUGCAUUUUGUUCCCAUCGCCUUUUCGAUCCAAGCCUCUGUUCUUCUCACGGUUUUGUCCCUUUUUCUUGGGAUUUUUUUGGGGAAACAAAAUUCUUAAUGCUCUCUUUGCUUCUUAACUUCGUAUUGUGUCUUGAGAUUUUUUUCCUUUCACAGUUUUGCCCUUUGUCUUCCGUGAUGGCCAGGUGAAGUCUUUUAAGGAAAAGGAUGAAGUGGAUGCGUGGCUUUUCAGCAACCCUAUGCGGUGCCUUGAAGCGCUUCAUUUUUCGGAGAGAAACGACAUCGUUAUAAGCUACGAUCUUCAGACCAAUUCCACCAGUCUUCAGCAGCGAGGGAAGUACGAGGAUCCCACGGCUUUGUUUCAGCUCCCUCUUCAGCUUGCUGCCGAGAGGGAAAUUGCCAGAUACCUUAUUGGAGAGUUUGGAAUUGGUGUUUCUGAGGGAAUUCGCGCACCCUUCCAUGAAUCCUUUCUCUACUGUGGCUUCAAAUUUUCGGAUCCUCUCACCCAAGUACACACUUUUAAUCCAUGACCCUAGGAAAUUGUGCCAUAGUUUUAUGAUUAAAUUUACUGUUACUGUGUGGUUUUUUUGUUCACUUAGGCAAUGAAUAUGAUGGGGCUUUACGACUUUGCUUACUGGUUUUCCUGGCUCAUCUAGGAGGCAGUUGUCACGAUCCUAUCGUCCCUCCUUAUAAUUUCUUUUGAUUGCAUUGUUAUGGGGACCUUUUCUGGUUCUUGUUACCUGCCCAGUAAGGGGUGAGGUAGAUUUCUAAGAAAAGAAAUAAAUUGCCUCGAGCUGGUGUGAUUCAAAAAGGAAAAAAAAUUAUUUAUGUAUUCUGGAAUUUGCUGCUCAUUUAUUUAUUUAUUUAUUUUUAAUUAACAUAGGUGGAUAUUCUGUGCUGGGAAUGUGAAAGAUGUUUUAUAGUCUAGAAUGUGCCACAUAUGACACAGGAUACAAAUACAAUACGACACAACCAUAGGAAUAUAUGACAUUUUAAAAAGUAUAGGACUCGACUUCACUGUAAUACAAGAUAUAAUAUUAGUAUAAUAUUAACAUAUAGCACAAAUCUAGAACCAAAAGAGCAAAUCAAUGUUUUAAAAGUGAGCACAAGUCCUUGUACAUAUAAUUUUAAAAAUUCUUAAGUUUAUUUAAUUAUUAUUGUGUUUUUUGUUUGUCUUGUUGAGUUUGGUGAUUGCAUCUUUUGUAGUUGUGUUGGCCAUCCAUUUUAAGCUAAUCUUUUGCGGCUGUCUGUAACGCAAGUGCUGCAGCGAAGAAAAUUCUUCUGUACAAGGUGGAAGAUCUCUCGAGGAUGUAUAGACUUUACUAUAAAAAACCUAAAGGCUUGGAUCCUGUUGCCAAUGUAUUCAAGCAGGUUGGUUUAUUUAGUUUUUGCAUUAUGCUUUGUGCUCAAUUAUUAAUCUUUUAAAGUAUUAGUAUAUUUUAUUUAAAGAAGCAGAAAAGUAAAUUCAAAGGUAAUCAGUGUUGUUAAAAAGCGGUUAUGGCGGCGCCAUGGCGAUAUGACAUCACGGGUUUUUGAAAAAACGCCACCAAAUAGCAGUGGCAUUGCGGGUUUCAUAUGGCAGUCGUUGCGGAAUGGCGGAAUAGCACUUUUUUUAAAAAAAUUUGCGCAACACCGGUUGGGCUGACCCGACCCAAUCCAACCCUACCUGAAUGUCACCUGCAAAAGGAGACUCCAGCCCGACGCACAGCGGCGCGACGACAGCAGCGGCACCACCAUGCACGCGAGCACCACGGAAGCGAGCACAUGACAAACGGACGGCGACGGCAACGGCAACGGCAAAAGUGUGCACAUGUUCUGGGUUUUUUUUCUGUUUGACACCCUCUUUUUAUAUCUAGUUCUGUUUUUUUUUUUUUUCUGUUUGACCCGUUUUUAGAACUCUUGAAUGAGUUUAUUUGGUGUUGGUAUUUGGUUAUUGUGUGAACUCAUAAACUUUUUUAGUUUAUUUGAAUGCAAUCCAUUGUUUUUUAAUUUUUUAUUUAUA